Hippopotamus amphibius kiboko is the source of this 706-nucleotide long non-coding RNA. RefSeq lists it as uncharacterized. The transcript has 3 exons. The record is from RefSeq and is a predicted model, not a curated record. Lineage: Eukaryota; Metazoa; Chordata; Mammalia; Artiodactyla; Hippopotamidae.
CUCACUUCCUGUGGGAAUUUGUUAGGACACGUGCGCUCAGAAGUGGGAAGGCUGCGUCCCAGGAGGAUUCUUAACCACUGCACCACCAGGGAAGUCCCUGUUUUGCCUCUUCUUCAACUUCACAUAAAUGCAGUCAAUCCUGCAGUGGUUAAGAAUCCACCCGCCAAUGCACGAGACACGGGUUCAAUCCCUGGGCCGGGAAGAUCCAACAUGCCUCGGAGCAACUAAGCCCAUGGGGCCACAACUACUGAGCCUGCGCUCUAGAGCCUGUGAGCCACAACUAUUGAGCCCAUGGACCUAGAGCCUGUGCUCCACAAGAGAAGCCACCACAAUGAGAAGCCUGUGCACCACAACGAAGACUAGCCCCCACUCGCCACAACUGGAAAAAGCCCGUGUGCAGCAAUGAAGACCCAAUGCAGCCAAUAAAUAAAUAAAUAAAUAUUACAAAAAAAAAAAAGAAAGAAAAGACAAGACUAUCCUUUCUUCAUUGACUUGCCUUUGCAGCUUUAUCAAAAGUCACUUGACCAUACAUGUAUGGGUCCAUUUCUGGACUCUCUAUUCUGGUCUAUUGAUCUACGUAUCAAUUCUUUCACCAAUACCACACUAUAUUUAUUUCUGUAGUUUUAUAACUGCUUGAAAUCAGGUAAUGUGGGUCCUCUAACUUAGUUCUUUUUCAAAAUUGUUCAGGCUACUCUAGUUCCUUUGC